AUAAGCUGCGGCUGAGCACAAUGCUGCUGAACCUAACAGGACAGCCUUCCACUGUCUACUAACCACCAGAAUGGCCAAAGCCGUCAAAGCCACUGCCGUGGCAGAGAGGAUAUUUUUCCAGAGCUCAAAAGAUUUGAUCACAUUGCUGCAGCUUCUACAAUGAAUAAUAUGUCUGAAGUACCGGUUAGCCAAAUUGGGAGCAUGCAUAGUCCCAAUUCCGCCUUUUGCAGGGUAAGAAGCAGAGAGAGCUGCAAUGAGCCCUGCCGGGGCAUGUUCCACGACAGGAGGGACUUUGGGGAGAGAUAUGGUCCUAUGCCCGAAAUGGUAAGGCAUCCCAUGACCAACUUUGUCCAUCCACUUUCUAUAUUCAGCGACCCAUGUGUCCGAUGACUUUAGAUUCAAAUACAAGUCCUUAGUUGGUACUUUCUCCUUCAUCAGAACCUCAUUUUGAGACGAUAGAAACCCCAUGUCUUGUUCAAA
Arabidopsis thaliana (thale cress) is the source of this 480-nucleotide long non-coding RNA. RefSeq annotates it as other RNA. The record is from RefSeq. NCBI's taxonomy places the organism in Eukaryota, Viridiplantae, Streptophyta, Magnoliopsida, Brassicales, Brassicaceae. The transcript has a single exon.